GAUGAACGCUGGCGGCGUGCCUAAUACAUGCAAGUCGAGCGAACGGACGAGAAGCUUGCUUCUCUGAUGUUAGCGGCGGACGGGUGAGUAACACGUGGAUAACCUACCUAUAAGACUGGGAUAACUUCGGGAAACCGGAGCUAAUACCGGAUAAUAUUUUGAACCGCAUGGUUCAAAAGUGAAAGACGGUCUUGCUGUCACUUAUAGAUGGAUCCGCGCUGCAUUAGCUAGUUGGUAAGGUAACGGCUUACCAAGGCAACGAUGCAUAGCCGACCUGAGAGGGUGAUCGGCCACACUGGAACUGAGACACGGUCCAGACUCCUACGGGAGGCGGCAGUAGGGAAUCUUCCGCAAUGGGCGAAAGCCUGACGGAGCAACGCCGCGUGAGUGAUGAAGGUCUUCGGAUCGUAAAACGCUGUUAUUAGGGAAGAACAUAUGUGUAAGUAACUGUGCACAUCUUGACGGUACCUAAUCAGAAAGCCACGGCUAACUACGUG
This 497-nucleotide ribosomal RNA is filed under the name uncultured bacterium. RNAcentral's name for it is "partial 16S ribosomal RNA". It matches the Rfam family "Bacterial small subunit ribosomal RNA", at positions 28 to 507 of the family's 1533-position model. The record is from RNAcentral.